This 423-nucleotide ribosomal RNA is filed under the name uncultured bacterium. Its description in RNAcentral is "bacterial SSU rRNA". It matches the Rfam family "Bacterial small subunit ribosomal RNA", at positions 360 to 773 of the family's 1533-position model. The record is from RNAcentral.
AAUAUUGCGCAAUGGACGAAAGUCUGACGCAGCGACGCCGCGUGUGGGAGGAAGCUCUUCGGGGUGUAAACCACUGUCAGGAGGGAAGAAAGGCGCUGACUCGAACAGGGUCUAGCGAUUGACGGUACCUCCAAAGGAAGCGCCGGCUAACUCCGUGCCAGCAGCCGCGGUAAGACGGAGGGCGCAAGCGUUGUUCGGAAUUACUGGGCGUAAAGAGCGCGCAGGCGGUCGUUCAAGUCGCGUGUGAAAGCCCCCGGCUCAACUGGGGAGGGUCACGCGAUACUGAUCGACUCGAAGGCAGGAGAGGGUAGUGGAAUUCCCGGUGUAGUGGUGAAAUGCGUAGAUAUCGGGAGGAACACCAGUGGCGAAGGCGACUACCUGGCCUGUUCUUGACGCUGAGGCGCGAAAGCUAGGGGAGCAAAC